UCCCCGGCUAGCUCAGUUGGUAGAGCAUGAGACUCUUAAUCUCAGGGUCGUGUGUUCGAGCCCCACGUAAAAGAUUCGGGGAG
Molecule: non-coding RNA, 83 nt
Organism: Carcharodon carcharias (great white shark)
Lineage: Eukaryota; Metazoa; Chordata; Chondrichthyes; Lamniformes; Lamnidae
Source: the annotation of a RefSeq genome assembly